Molecule: transfer RNA, 76 nt
Filed under: Holosporaceae bacterium
Lineage: Bacteria; Pseudomonadati; Pseudomonadota; Alphaproteobacteria; Holosporales; Holosporaceae
Description: tRNA-Lys
Rfam family: tRNA
About the family: Transfer RNA (tRNA) molecules are approximately 80 nucleotides in length. Their secondary structure includes four short double-helical elements and three loops (D, anti-codon, and T loops).
Source: RNAcentral
GGGCGUCUAGCUCAGUUGGUAGAGCAGCUGACUCUUAAUCAGCGGGUCGCAGGUUCGAAUCCUGCGACGCCCACCA